UCCCUUCCCGGCGGGCUUACACAUGCAGUCGACGCACCUUUCGGGGUGAGUGGCAGACGGGUGAGUAACGCGUGGGAACGUGCCCUUCAGUUCGGAAUAACCCAGGGAAACUUGGGCUAAUACCGGAUACGUGCGAGAGCAGAAAGAUUUAUCGCUGAAGGAUCGGCCCGCGUCUGAUUAGCUGGUUGGUGAGGUAAUGGCUCACCAAGGCGACGAUCAGUAGCUGGUCUGAGAGGAUGAUCAGCCACAUUGGGACUGAGACACGGCCCAAACUCCUACGGGAGGCAGCAGUGGGGAAUAUUGGACAAUGGGCGCAAGCCUGAUCCAGCCAUGCCGCGUGAGUGAUGACGGCCUUAGGGUUGUAAAGCUCUUUCGGCGGGGACGAUAAUGACGGUACCCGCAGAAGAAGCCCCGGCUAACUUCGUGCCAGCAGCCGCGGUAAUACGAAGGGGGCUAGCGUUGUUCGGAAUCACUGGGCGUAAAGGGCGCGUAGGCGGCUUUGUAAGUCGGGGGUGAAAGCCUGUGGCUCAACCACAGAAUUGCCUUCGAUACUGCAUGGCUUGAGACCGGAAGAGGUUAGUGGAACUGCGAGUGUAGAGGUGAAAUUCGUAGAUAUUCGCAAGAACACCAGGUGGCGAAGGCGGCUGACUGGUCCGGAUCUGACGCUGAGGCGCGAAAGCGUGGGGAGCAAACAGGAUUAGAUACCCUGGUAGUCCACGCCGUAAACGAUGAAUGCCAAGCCGUUGGCGAGCUUGCUCAUCAGUGGCGCACUAACGCUUUAAAGCAUUCCGCCUGGGGAGUACGGUCGCAGAUUAAAACUCAAAGAAUUGAACGGGGGCCGCAAAGCGGUGGAGCAUGUGGUUAAUUCGAGUCACCGCGCAGAACUUUACAGCCCUUGGACGUGCUCAGUAAUGCACCUUAGAGACAAGGCUUCUUCACUUUCGUCCUGUCUGCAACCAAGCGUGCUUGCAUAGACAUUUCGUCCAACUCGCUGCU
This 996-nucleotide ribosomal RNA is filed under the name Microvirga sp. RNAcentral's name for it is "bacterial SSU rRNA". It matches the Rfam family "Bacterial small subunit ribosomal RNA", at positions 33 to 1053 of the family's 1533-position model. Lineage: Bacteria; Pseudomonadati; Pseudomonadota; Alphaproteobacteria; Hyphomicrobiales; Methylobacteriaceae. The record is from RNAcentral.